GUAAUAGUAGGCACUCUUUUUCACAAAUUGAGUUCAGUCAAUUUACUCUCAUCUUUUCGAGUUUCAAGAAAUGGCCAAGCAAAACGAGCCCAAAAUAGGUGUUGGUACUGAGCUAUCUCAAACCCGAAAACGAUCAGAGCGAAUUCAGAAACGUAAAUUACGCCUUGCUCCUUCUCCAGAUGGAGUGCCCAAAAUAAAAAUAAAAAAGAAGACUCUACCGAAAUCUUCUACUUCCAACGAAACUCCUAUUGCAAAAAAAGGAUCAGGAGUAAUAACCGAACAGAAAAACUGUAAAGUUUCACUGGAUCCAGCCAAAAACACCAAUGAACCUGUGCAAGUGAAAAAAAGAAACAAGAAAAAUGCCACAACUUUUGAAAUCGAUUGUACCCCUAUCGACAUGGAUGCCACCAAUUUGCGUAAAGACUUGUGGCAUCGAGCUAAAAAUGGCAAAAUCAACUCGAUCCAAAAUAUUCGAAUAAAACAGAAAGGAAAAAUCGUUUACAUAACUGCUCGCUGCUAUGUUCCUAAAAAAUGUAUUCGAUCGAAUCUUCAUUUCUUGAUAGAAGCUUAUUUAAAGCAAAAGAAAAUUGAUCGUCCAGUUCACCUAGUCGGCGAUAAAAACGUGUACAAGCUAGUUUAUAAAU
This is a long non-coding RNA of Bradysia coprophila, 644 nucleotides long. RefSeq lists it as uncharacterized. The record is from RefSeq and is a predicted model, not a curated record. NCBI's taxonomy places the organism in Eukaryota, Metazoa, Arthropoda, Insecta, Diptera, Sciaridae.